This 463-nucleotide ribosomal RNA is filed under the name uncultured bacterium. RNAcentral describes it as "bacterial SSU rRNA". It matches the Rfam family "Bacterial small subunit ribosomal RNA", at positions 340 to 793 of the family's 1533-position model. The record is from RNAcentral.
UACGGGAGGCAGCAGUGGGGAACUAUUGGCACAAUGGGCGCAAGCCUGAUGCAGCCAUGCCGCGUGUAUGAAGAAGGCCUUCGGGUUGUAAAGUACUUUCAGCAGUGAGGAAGGUGGAUAUGUUAAUAGCAUAUUCAUUUGACGUUAGCUGCAGAAGAAGCACCGGCUAACUCCGUGCCAGCAGCCGCGGUAAUACGGAGGGUGCGAGCGUUAAUCGGAAUUACUGGGCGUAAAGCGCAUGCAGGUGGUUUGUUAAGUCAGAUGUGAAAGCCCGGGGCUCAACCUCGGAAUUGCAUUUUGAAACUGGCAAACUAGAGUACUGUAGAGGGGGUAGAAUUUCAGGUGUAGCGGUGAAAUGCGUAGAGAUCUGAAGGAAUACCGGUGGCGAAGGCGGCCCCCUGGACAGAUACUGACACUCAGAUGCGAAAGCGUGGGGAGCAAACAGGAUUAGAUACCCUGGUAG